UAGGGAAUCUUCGGCAAUGGACGAAAGUCUGACCGAGCAACGCCGCGUGAGUGAAGAAGGUUUUCGGAUCGUAAAACUCUUUUGUUAGAGAAGAACAAGUACGUUAGUAACUGAACGUCCCCUGACGGUAUCUAACCAGAAAGCCACGGCUAACUACGUGCCAGCAGCCGCGGUCAUACGUAGGUGGCAAGCGUUGUCCGGAUUUAUUGGGCGUAAAGCGAGCGCAGGCGGUUUCUUAAGUCUGAUGUGAAAGCCCCCGGCUCAACCGGGGAGGGUCAUUGGAAAGUGGGAGACUUGAGUGCAGAAGAGGAGAGUGGAAUUCCAUGUGUAGCGGUGAAAUGCGUAGAUAUAUGGAGGAACAACAGGGGCGAAGGCGGCUCUCUGGUCUGUAACUGGCGCUGAGGCGCGAAAGCGUGGGGAGCAAACAGG
Molecule: ribosomal RNA, 429 nt
Filed under: Gemmatimonadota bacterium
Lineage: Bacteria; Pseudomonadati; Gemmatimonadota
Description: Gemmatimonadetes bacterium partial 16S ribosomal RNA
Rfam family: Bacterial small subunit ribosomal RNA
Source: RNAcentral